This 253-nucleotide ribosomal RNA is filed under the name uncultured bacterium. RNAcentral's name for it is "partial 16S ribosomal RNA". It matches the Rfam family "Bacterial small subunit ribosomal RNA", at positions 524 to 776 of the family's 1533-position model. The record is from RNAcentral.
UACGAAGGGGGCUAGCGUUGUUCGGAAUUACUGGGCGUAAAGCGCGCGUAGGCGGUGAUCUUUGUCAGAGGUGAAAUCCCGAGGCUCAACUUCGGAAUUGCCUUUGAAACGGGAUUGCUUGAGUCCGAGAGAGGAUGGCGGAAUUCCUAGUGUAGAGGUGAAAUUCGUAGAUAUUAGGAAGAACACCGGUGGCGAAGGCGGCCAUCUGGCUCGGUACUGACGCUCAGGCGCGAGAGCGUGGGGAGCAAACAGG